This 253-nucleotide ribosomal RNA is filed under the name uncultured bacterium. RNAcentral's name for it is "partial 16S ribosomal RNA". It matches the Rfam family "Bacterial small subunit ribosomal RNA", at positions 524 to 776 of the family's 1533-position model. The record is from RNAcentral.
UACGAAGGGGGCUAGCGUUGCUCGGAAUCACUGGGCGUAAAGGGUGCGUAGGCGGGUCUUUAAGUCAGGGGUGAAAUCCUGGAGCUCAACUCCAGAACUGCCUUUGAUACUGGCGACCUUGAGUCCGGGAGAGGUGAGUGGAACUGCGAGUGUAGAGGUGAAAUUCGUAGAUAUUCGCAAGAACACCAGUGGCGAAGGCGGCUCACUGGCCCGAUACUGACGCUGAGAAGCGAAAGCAUGGGGAGCGAACAGG